RNAcentral lists this ribosomal RNA (715 nucleotides) under Salmonella enterica. Its description in RNAcentral is "partial 23S ribosomal RNA". It matches the Rfam family "Bacterial large subunit ribosomal RNA", at positions 2087 to 2801 of the family's 2925-position model. The record is from RNAcentral. Lineage: Bacteria; Pseudomonadati; Pseudomonadota; Gammaproteobacteria; Enterobacterales; Enterobacteriaceae.
GACCCCGUGAACCUUUACUAUAGCUUGACACUGAACACUGGUCCUUGAUGUGCAGGAUAGGUGGGAGGCUUUGAAGUGUGGACGCCAGUCUGCAUGGAGCCGUCCUUGAAAUACCACCCUUUAAUGGCUGGUGUUCUAACGUAGACCCGUGAACCGGGUUGCGGACAGUGUCUGGUGGGUAGUUUGACUGGGGCGGUCUCCUCCUAAAGCGUAACGGAGGAGCACGAAGGUUGGCUAAUCCUGGUCGGACAUCAGGAGGUUAGUGCAAUGGCAUAAGCCAGCUUGACUGCGAGCGUGACGGCGCGAGCAGGUGCGAAAGCAGGUCAUAGUGAUCCGGUGGUUCUGAAUGGAAGGGCCAUCGCUCAACGGAUAAAAGGUACUCCGGGGAUAACAGGCUGAUACCGCCCAAGAGUUCAUAUCGACGGCGGUGUUUGGCACCUCGAUGUCGGCUCAUCACAUCCUGGGGCUGAAGUAGGUCCCAAGGGUAUGGCUGUUCGCCAUUUAAAGUGGUACGCGAGCUGGGUUUAGAACGUCGUGAGACAGUUCGGUCCCUAUCUGCCGUGGGCGCUGGAGAACUGAGGGGGGCUGCUCCUAGUACGAGAGGACCGGAGUGGACGCAUCACUGGUGUUCGGGUUGUCAUGCCAAUGGCACUGCCCGGUAGCUAAAUGCGGAAGAGAUAAGUGCUGAAAGCAUCUAAGCACGAAACUUGCCCCG